This 470-nucleotide ribosomal RNA is filed under the name uncultured bacterium. RNAcentral's name for it is "bacterial SSU rRNA". It matches the Rfam family "Bacterial small subunit ribosomal RNA", at positions 28 to 507 of the family's 1533-position model. The record is from RNAcentral.
GAUGAACGCUAGCUACAGGCUUAACACAUGCAAGUCGAGGGGCAGCACGGUGUAGCAAUACACUGGUGGCGACCGGCGCACGGGUGCGUAACGCGUAUCCAACUUUCCCGUUACUCUCGGAUAGCCUUCCGAAAGGGAGAUUAAUACGAGAUGGUGUUCAGUUUCCGCAUGUUUACUGAACUAAAGAUUCAUCGGUAACGGAUAGGGAUGCGUGACAUUAGAUAGUUGGCGGGGUAGCGGCCCACCAAGUCAACGAUGUCUAGGGGUUCUGAGAGGAUGAACGGCCACAUUGGGACUGAGAUACGGCCCAGACUCCUACGGGAGGCAGCAGUGGGGAAUAUUGGGCAAUGGGGGAAACCCUGACCCAGCAACGCCGCGUGAAGGAAGAAGGCCCUCGGGUUGUAAACUUCUUUUAGCAGGGACGAAGAACGUGACGGUACCUGCAGAAAAAGCAAACGGCUAACUACGUG